UACGAGGGGGGCGAGCGUUGUUCGGAAUUACUGGGCGUAAAGCGCGCGUAGGCGGACCUGCAAGUCGGGGGUGAAAGCCCGAGGCUCAACCUCGGAACUGCCUUCGAUACUGCGGGUCUCGAGUCCGGGAGAGGUGAGUGGAAUUCCUAGUGUAGAGGUGAAAUUCGUAGAUAUUAGGAAGAACACCAGUGGCGAAGGCGGCUCACUGGCCCGGUACUGACGCUGAGGCGCGAAAGCGUGGGGAGCGAACAGG
This 253-nucleotide ribosomal RNA is filed under the name uncultured bacterium. Its description in RNAcentral is "partial 16S ribosomal RNA". It matches the Rfam family "Bacterial small subunit ribosomal RNA", at positions 524 to 776 of the family's 1533-position model. The record is from RNAcentral.